This 460-nucleotide ribosomal RNA is filed under the name uncultured bacterium. RNAcentral's name for it is "partial 16S ribosomal RNA". It matches the Rfam family "Bacterial small subunit ribosomal RNA", at positions 339 to 795 of the family's 1533-position model. The record is from RNAcentral.
CUACGGGCUGCAGCAGUGAGGAAUAUUGCGCAAUGGGCGAAAGCCUGACGCAGCCAUGCCGCGUGUGUGAUGAAGGCCUUCGGGUUGUAAAGCACUGUCAGAGGGGAAGAGCAACCCGGUUAACAGCCGGGUCCGACGGUACCCUCAGAGGAAGCACCGGCUAACUCCGUGCCAGCAGCCGGCGGUAAAACGGGGGGUGCUAGCGUUGUUCGGAAUCACUGGGCGUAAAGCGUGCGUAGGCGGCCUGUUAAGCCAGGUGUGAAAUCCUGCGGCUUAACCGUAGAACUGCAUCUGGAACUGGCAGGCUAGAGUGCGGUAGAGGGAAGGGGAAUUCCCGGUGGAGAGGUGAAAUUCGUAGAGAUCGGGAGGAAUACCAGUGGCGAAGGCGCCUUCCUGGACCUGAACUGACGCUGAGGCACGAAAGCGUGGGGAGCAAACAGGAUUAGAUACCCUGGUAGUC